CUUUUUCGUUGAAAAUCAUACCGAGAUUGCAGGAAUGGAAAUGUUAUUUUGGAUGCUUGGUUGACGGGUCAUAACACCGUUUCCCCCAGUGGGAAGACUUUAAGGAAGGAAGAGUUAAUAAGUGAAAAUCCGUUAUAAGAUUAUGCUAUCGUCAUUUCAUAUCAAUUUAUAACUUAUAAAUAUUGCAGGAUCACAAAUGUUUUUCAGAGAACCUUCCUCAUGAGGAUUACAAGCUUCAAAAUGAAAGAUGCACCACUUGAACCCAUAUGCAGUAUCAUAAGAAAACAAUGAUCAACCAUCAACAUCAGGCUUACAAUGUGAAACUCUUAAGAAGCAUAACACUGAUACAUAUGCUGCCAAGAAAUGCUGCAAGAAGUUCUCAAAUACUGUAGAAAAUCUGAGAAAGCAAAUUGAACACAAUGAUAUUGAAAAAUUUGGCCUAAAAAAGAAAAAUACUUGAUCUCAAAAAAAUUAAUCUCAGUAAACUCUUAGUCAAUGAGGAAAUACCAAACCCUGUA
Zerene cesonia (dogface butterfly) is the source of this 518-nucleotide long non-coding RNA. RefSeq lists it as uncharacterized. The record is from RefSeq and is a predicted model, not a curated record. Lineage: Eukaryota; Metazoa; Arthropoda; Insecta; Lepidoptera; Pieridae. The transcript is spliced from 5 exons.